GCUGAUGCGUUGUUGGGUAGGGGAGCGUUCUGUAAGCCUGCGAAGGUGACCUGUGAGGGUUGCUGGAGGUAUCAGAAGUGCGAAUGCUGACAUAAGUAACGAUAAAGCGGGUGAAAAGCCCGCUCGCCGGAAGACCAAGGGUUCCUGUCCAACGUUAAUCGGGGCAGGGUGAGUCGACCCCUAAGGCGAGGCCGAAAGGCGUAGUCGAUGGGAAACGGGUUAAUAUUCCCGUACUUGGUGUUACUGCGAAGGGGGGACGGAGAAGGCUAUGUUGGCCGGGCGACGGUUGUCCCGGUUUAAGCGUGUAGGUGUGUGUUCCAGGUAAAUCCGGUUCACUUUAACACUGAGGCGUGAUGACGAGGCACUACGGUGCUGAAGCAACAAAUGCCCUGCUUCCAGGAAAAGCCUCUAAGCAUCAGGUAACAUCAAAUCGUACCCCAAACCGACACAGGUGGUCAGGUAGAGAAUACCAAGGCGCUUGAGAGAACUCGGGUGAAGGAACUAGGCAAAAUGGUGCCGUAACUUCGGGAGAAGGCACGCUGACACGUAGGUGAAGUGAUUUACUCACGGAGCUGAAGUCAGUCGAAGAUACCAGCUGGCUGCAACUGUUUAUUAAAAACACAGCACUGUGCAAACACGAAAGUGGACGUAUACGGUGUGACGCCUGCCCGGUGCCGGAAGGUUAAUUGAUGGGGUCAGCGCAAGCGAAGCUCCUGAUCGAAGCCCCGGUAAACGGCGGCCGUAACUAUAACGGUCCUAAGGUAGCGAAAUUCCUUGUCGGGUAAGUUCCGACCUGCACGAAUGGCGUAAUGAUGGCCAGGCUGUCUCCACCCGAGACUCAGUGAAAUUGAACUCGCUGUGAAGAUGCAGUGUACCCGCGGCAAGACGGAAAGACCCCGUGAACCUUUACUAUAGCUUGACACUGAACAUUGAGCCUUGAUGUGUAGGAUAGGUGGGAGGCUUUGAAGUGUGGACGCCAGUCUGCAUGGAGCCGACCUUGAAAUACCACCCUUUAAUGUUUGAUGUUCUAACGUGGACCCGUAAUCCGGGUUGCGGACAGUGUCUGGUGGGUAGUUUGACUGGGGCGGUCUCCUCCUAAAGAGUAACGGAGGAGCACGAAGGUUGGCUAAUCCUGGUCGGACAUCAGGAGGUUAGUGCAAUGGCAUAAGCCAGCUUGACUGCGAGCGUGACGGCGCGAGCAGGUGCGAAAGCAGGUCAUAGUGAUCCGGUGGUUCUGAAUGGAAGGGCCAUCGCUCAACGGAUAAAAGGUACUCCGGGGAUAACAGGCUGAUACCGCCCAAGAGUUCAUAUCGACGGCGGUGUUUGGCACCUCGAUGUCGGCUCAUCACAUCCUGGGGCUGAAGUAGGUCCCAAGGGUAUGGCUGUUCGCCAUUUAAAGUGGUACGCGAGCUGGGUUUAGAACGUCGUGAGACAGU
This 1436-nucleotide ribosomal RNA is filed under the name Salmonella enterica. Its description in RNAcentral is "partial 23S ribosomal RNA". It matches the Rfam family "Bacterial large subunit ribosomal RNA", at positions 1213 to 2630 of the family's 2925-position model. Lineage: Bacteria; Pseudomonadati; Pseudomonadota; Gammaproteobacteria; Enterobacterales; Enterobacteriaceae. The record is from RNAcentral.